GCAAGGUUCUCUGCCUCUCCAGUUUAUCCACACAACAACAAUCGUUUGAGAAAAGCUUUAACCUGAUGCUUUACUGAGCUUCUUCUGUUUUCAUUGCUGGAGGAAAAGUGCAUCCUUUACAUGGUGUUUCUGAAUUUAUCUGCCUUCCUAUACAUUCCAGUGACCAAGCACAAAGUACCACUGUGAUACAGCUGCAGUACAGUGGAUUUUCAACGGUGCAAGAUGCCUUUGUCACAGUUUGAAAUUUAGUAACUCAUCAUCUUCAUUCUAAAAAUGUGCAAAAAUGACUGGAAAAAAAGGAGAGGCACUGGACAAAAAUGACCAUAAAUGCCUCAUGUAGAGAAGCCUCAUUCUUCUGCUGAAAGCUGAAAUGUGGGAUGGCUCUCGUAGGUAAAGCUGACCCUGUGGAAAAGUGGCACCUGAUGUGUAUGGAACUGACCUUCCUCCACUCUUCAUUUCCAAUUCCCUUAUACACUCUAAUGCACCCAGGAUUUUAAAAUGUUUAAUCUCUAGAUUUCCCAGAUGGACUUUCAUCCUGGCAGCUUACAGGGCCAGAUCUGCUUGGCUUAUGCAAAAGCCCUUCAUCAUGAAGACCUUUCAGAUCAAUAGCAAAAUGCUUAAACAUUGUGAUUCCCAUGCCAAUAAUAAUAAUAAUAAUAAUAAUAAUAUAAUCUUUAAGUUUCCCCAACUAUAACGUGGGUAGAUCUGGUACUUUUAACAAAGUAUUUUAAUGUUAUAUUUUUCUCUUCUGUCAUUUAAUUUUACCUUUGUUCCUUCACCCAGGAUACUAAGGUCUUUAUUGUGCUUGUUUUUAAAGUAUUUAAUAAAUAGUGGUAGAAUAUUA
Long non-coding RNA from Varanus komodoensis (Komodo dragon), 844 nucleotides. RefSeq lists it as uncharacterized. The record is from RefSeq and is a predicted model, not a curated record. Lineage: Eukaryota; Metazoa; Chordata; Lepidosauria; Squamata; Varanidae. The transcript has 2 exons.